Molecule: long non-coding RNA, 5957 nt
Organism: Amphiprion ocellaris (clown anemonefish)
Lineage: Eukaryota; Metazoa; Chordata; Actinopteri; Pomacentridae
Exons: 10
Source: RefSeq, a predicted model, not a curated record
UUUAGACUGGUGACAAAUUAUGACUCAGUGGUUUAUUUUAUUGUUGUAAUUUGUGUUUAAUUAUUGCCACAGACACCUUACAGGCAGAUACUGAAGCAUUUUUACCCUCAAAACAACGUUUUUUAAAAGGAGCCGUUCGAGCCACUAUAAUCAUCCGGCCGCCAUCUUAGGUGCUCUGCCGCCCCCUGCUGGGAGACCCCGUACGUGAACCGAAAAUACGUCACAUCCGGACAGACUGCUCCAUUCAGACGACCAACAUGGCGACUGAAAACUUGAGAAUGAUGUCCAGCAUCGACAUUCAAAGAACCCAGGAGCUGAUGAUGAACCUUCUCCUGCUCAGACCUCCUGACUGACCUGCUGGUUAAAUGGGACUAUGAGAUGAUCUAAGAGGAAGAAGCAGCAUGAAGGCUGUUGAUUCACCUCACAGGUAGUAGACCAGGUCUUCAGUAUUUAUGGAUCCGUUUGAAUCAAAGCUUCAGUUUCACCACGACGACCAGACGGAGAUGCAGAUUUCAUGAUCAGAGAAGGAAACCAUAACAUUCAAUGGGACGGCUGGAUUUAUUUCUACACCACUUUAGGGAUUAAAGAGGACUUUUCAGUGGAUUUUGAGUCAUUUAUGUUUAGUGUCUUCUAACAUAAAGAAAUGAAGGAGAUUAUAAAAAUAAAACUGAUCUAAUGAAGUGUUUACAGGUGGUAGAAGAACCGAGUCCUGCAGUCGUUUAUCAUUAAUUAAACUGAAUUAACUACAGUUCAGUUUGUGUUUAAUUACAUUAGAGUCCAAAGUCUACAGUUUACUAUUAACCCUCCUGUUCUCAUCUACGGGCAUCAAAAAAUGUUGUUUCCUUGUCUGAAAAAUAUCUGCAAAAAAAUUCCCCAAAUUUCUGAAAAUUUUCAAAAACUUCAAGAAGAAAAUUCCAAUAAUUCCUUAGAAGUUUUAUUUUUUUUAAAAAUCCCCCAAAUUUGGCAAGAAAAUUCUUGUAAAUAUUUUCAAAAAAUGAGUAAAAAUCUUCCCAAAAAUCCUAAAAAUAUCUGAAGUGAUUCCAAAUAAAACCUUGAAGGGAAACUUUUAUGGAAUUAUUGGAAUUUUCUUCCUGAAGGUUUUGCAAAUUUUCAGAAAUUUGGGGAAUUUUUUUGCUGAAUUUUUUUCAGACAAGGAAAGUAUUUUUUGGUGCCUGUAAAUGAAGACAACUGGAAGGUUUAGGCUUUAAAUGUCAGAAAAUGGUGAAGAAAAACUGAAAAGUUUCUAAAGUGCAAAUAUUUUGCUUCUCCUGCCAACGUCUGUGUUUUCCUGUCGGUUAACGUAAAAAGACGUUGUUACAGGUGCUGUUUACGUCCGUAUCUGUCCUCUGCUGCUGCGGUUUUGAGGGGAUUUCUUUGGAACAUUGAUCAGUUUUUAGUGGAUUAUUUCUUUAACAUGUAAAACUGAUGACCUUCCACCUGGAGGCGCUGCUGCACCACACUUACUCUGGAAACGUCAUAUUUUUAGCAACACCGGAAGUCACCGAGGAAGAACAGUUUAGAGCUGGUCUGGACCGUGAACACAUCUAGAAUGACUGUCCUCGAGCCCUUUUCCUAUUUAAUUCUCUUUAAGAGUGGAAAACCCACGCAGAAAUCAUGGAGCUCCACGUUGUUCUAUAAUGAGAGUCAGGAGGUUCUGCUGGAGAACAGUUUAAGAAGAUCAAUCAUGUCUGAUGCUGAUUUGGAGAGAGCUGGAAUUUGUUCUGUUAACCACAGAUGUUAUUUUCAGUGCCAUACUUUAUUAACUGUAGAAUGUUAUGUUUCACUUCUGUGUGUUUUACAGUCAGAUCCGACAUGUGGACGACAGUUUAUGACGGAAUACUGGUCAACGCAUUUUUAUGAACGGUGAGAGGAAACGAUGGAAUCCAGAGAUAAAAUUAGAGACCACAGUCUGACUCAUCAUGUCACCGAUCAGUCCGAUAAACAUCUUCACAAGGAUGUAAAAAGGAUUACAAAAAUAUAACAAAAACUACCUGCGUAUUUUAAUCACUCAGACUGCAGUACUGGAAGUAUUCUAGUCUUCCUCUGCCACGUCUCUAAAAGUAUCUUUUUGCCAUUUCUAAACCAGCCAGAGUUUUUGGAAAGACAACUCACACAUAUAUUUGACCAAAUCGGAUCCCUUUACUUCCAUUUUUAUUUAAUAUUGUCAGCAGAUAACAUGCUCUGAAAUGACGGUUAGGACGGAGAACUGAACGUGUUUUAUCGUUUUCUGAGUGACUAGUUUUAACAACAUGGUCUCAGUUUUUUCUGAUGUAUUUUAUCAGAUCCAGCUGAUAUUCUGCUGCGUGUUCUGAUGUAUUUUAUCAGAUCCAGCUGAUGUUCUGCUGCCUGUUGUUCUGAUGUAUUUUAUCAGAUCCAGCUGAUGUUCUACUGCGUGUUCUGAUGUAUUUUAUCAGAUCCAGCUGAUGUUCUGCUGUGUGUUGUUCUGAUGGGAGGCUACUGAGGGUCUGAGUGUGUUUCUGAAAACAAACCCGAGUUAAACCUGAAGUUCUGCUCUGGAUCAGUUCCACUGAACUCAGACUAACACACAGCAGUGGACGUGCUUCUAUGUUGUGGGUUUUCUUGGUGAGACAUUAAUUAGUUUUGUGGCUCGUUAUUAACCAGGCAGCCUGUGUUAAGUUGUGAUUAUCCCCAGUUAACCUGGGCGUGUUUCCUGAACAAUCACCAGGUGUUAAACACCUGACAGGAUGACAAAGAUCUAUGUGGAUGAAGCGGGAUGUUUAUCAGACUCAUGGGUGACAUGAUGAGUCAGACUGUGGUCUCUAAUUUUAUCUCUGGAUUCCAUCGUUUCCUCUCACCAUUCAUAAAAAAUACGUGUUUUUUUUUAUUUUUUAUUGCGACCAGCACAUUUCAUUUUACUGUCUGUAGGUGAUAUUUACAUGGAUAAAGACUUUAUUAAGUAGUGAUGUCCACGUUUUUCGGCAGGUUUUCUUUAUCUAGUAUCUUUAUUUCACACACAUGUGGUCUGGAGGAAUCUGCGACGAAAUAUCUGGAGACGGAAACUAUCAACACUUCACCUGAUUAAACUGGAAUCGCCAGAGUUCUUCACAUUUUAAUACUUAAAAAUACUUACUUGGACUAUUAAAGCGAUUUCGUUCACACUGAGAUCAUGAGCUCUCAGUGUGAUGCGUCUACUUCCUCUAAAUAAGACAAACAAACACGUCUUCGUUGUUUUCACAGUACGUGGUGCAGAGUUUGGGACAGAGAAGUGACGUCAAGUCGCCACGAGUUAUGAGUUUGAUUUCCGGUUCUGCCGGCGGCUUCCAAAUGGGAAAAAGGCUUUUUCUUUUGUUUAAACCUUAAAAUUUGUAAAAACGCAGCGUUUUUUCCUUCUCUACUUUUUGUUUUUCGAAUUUAAUUUUUAAACGAAAAAACAAAAAAAAAAAACUGGUCAAGUAUUUGUUUUUUUCUCAUUUUAUUUUGAAACGGAAAAACGAAUGAGCGAACCAUACACGGCUUUACGCGGAUUUAUCUGGUAAUUGGAUUUUCCGUUCUGAAACGGGUACUGAAAAACAUAAAACGAGUGGUUAUUUGAUUUUCGUUUUAAAAUACAAAAAUUAAAAUUGAAAUACAAGGCAUUUUUCCUUUUCAUGAUCAAAAAGGGAUAUACGAUUUUUUUUUAAAAAAAUGCUUUGAUUUUCGUUUUAUAUUUAGUAUAACAAGAAAGUAAAAUCAGUAAGAGACAGAAACGAAAAAAGGUCCGUUUUUUCAUUUUCUGAGACCGGAAGUGGUCAUCAGCAAGUGUGGAGCCAAACAGAGUACGGUGCAGAGACUGGAUAUAAUUUUUUUCGUUAGUUUUCAUGGUCAGAAUGAGAGAUCAGGUGGCCGAUCUUAAAAUAAAUCAAUAUUGAUUUUUUUAUAGAGCGUUAAAGUUUUGCGAAGCCAGCGGGCGGGACUACUUGAUUGACAGUCUGGUCUGGAAUGAUUGACAGGUCCUAUGGAGGAGGCAGCAGAGACUCUGCUCUCCUCGUUUGGAUUAAUUCUGAUAUAAUAACUGUUGGUUUAUUUAUCGGUGGAGCAGCAGAUCAUUUUCCACAGACAGUUUUCCUGCCCGUUGGCUUGUUUUAACCAGUUUUCUACCUUCGGCUGAUUCUACCAGCAGACACUGAAAGGACUCUGAUAGUUUGAGUGAAAGUAGCAGUUCCUCCUGAAGGUCAGAGAUUGCAGCAUCUGAGGGCCUCUUCAAAAGAAGACGUAGUUGAUGAAGGCGUUCUGGAGCAGGACCAGAAAGACCACGACCAAGCAGCCUUGAGAUCUUAGGCAGCGUCUCCCUCAGGUCCCUCUCUAUCUCCCCACACAUCCACCAACCACUGGAACACAUCUCCAAAGUUCUGCUGGACCAGCUCAGCUUCCCCUCAGAAGAAGUGCUGCCACCUGCCAGAUGAAGGAGCCUUUUGAGAGGCAGCUGGCAUCGUGAUUGGACUGUACUUUGGUCUGUUCCAAUCCAGCUUCAGCUCCAGAGACGGCAGGCGGGACGAGUCAACGGAGGCCGGAUGGACGAAGGCAUGCAGCUGAGUACAAUCCAGAAAACAACAGAGGAGGAGUGCAGCAGCCCAGAGCCAGAACAACCAGAGUAGCAUCACCAAAGAACUACAGACUCUUCACAACCUGCUCAAACUCUUGGUACAGGACCUCACCACACGGGUCAAGAAGGUUUCUGUCUCAUUUCUACUCUGAAGCUCAGCUUCUCCUGCUCAAACUGCUGACAAAUGUUUCUGCUGCUCUAAAGUCUGGUCUCCAGAACUUCCUAAAAACUCUCAAAGUCUCUUCUGCUGCAGGUUGCUUUGGAGAACUGUUGCAGAAAACCUCACUAAACCACAUGGAGGAGCCUCAAGAUAGUCGUCCAAAUGAAACCAUACAAAAACCAAACUAACACAACCCAAACGCUAAAGUCUCCUGCAGCCUACCAGAGAACCUCUGAGAACAGAGAAUCAGGACAGGAACUCUUACCUUCUGGACAACCAACGCUGGUUCUCAAACAAGAAUACAGAAUGUGUCUGACCAAAAACCUCUAAAGACUCACUACAGCCAAGAUAAAGACACAACUCAGCUGCACCAAAUCCACUAAUCACUGCACACAUUAGCACCAUGUGCUAACUGUGGCUGAAGAACCACAUUUACCAAGACAACUAUCCAGUACAAAGCCCUAAAACACACCAAGAAACACAUUAAAGAUGAUUUUACUGCUGGAAGCUGCAAGCCAACGCCUAAAGAACGAACUAAAGCAACGGAACCAAACCCAGUUCAGUGGUGAAGAGAAGCAGAGGAAAUGUUUGUCUGCAGCUAAAUAAAGCAGGAAGACACUGAGCUGCUCAGGUGUUCCUGAUAACACCUAGCAGCCACCUGGACAGCCAAUAGGAACACAGCUUCCUGGAAGUCCAGAGGGCUGGGUUAGUCAAGGAAAUUUAGUUUAAAGUUGAAGCAGAAAGUUAAUAAAGAAAGUUGAAAACCACCUUCUGAUACCUGAAAUCUCUGAGUUUUCACACAAAGAACACCUGAACAUGUCAAACUGGUUCCAUAGUAGAACCAUCAUUGUAAAAACAUCAUAGUAUGGUGUGUUGCUCAAAAAACAUUAGGACCCGGCUGUCUAGGGUCGCAGAGGAGCAACACAAGAACAGGACAAACACUGGUUUCCAGGGGGUUAGGAGGAUAUUUAUUUGAAAGAGUAAGUUUACAACAACACAACAUGUGAGCAGAAAAAUCACAAAGUCUGUCUUUAGUUCAGCUGAAAAUAUUAGUUUUUGUCUUUUUUAUUGACCAAACUUUUCAGGAAGUAGAUGAAGAAUAAUUAAAGCUCUCAUGUAGAAGUCCAACCUAUUUUGGAUCCUUGUGGAGAGUUUAAUCUUAGAGUUUGUAAAGCUGUUGAGUUUUUAGAGUCACAUGGAUUGUUUUGACAUUUAAUAACCGAGUCCUGAAAUAAAAUUACAGUUGUGGAUUUC